This 491-nucleotide ribosomal RNA is filed under the name uncultured bacterium. RNAcentral's name for it is "partial 16S ribosomal RNA". It matches the Rfam family "Bacterial small subunit ribosomal RNA", at positions 29 to 507 of the family's 1533-position model. The record is from RNAcentral.
GUGAACGCUGGCGGUAGGCCUAACACAUGCAAGUCGAACGGCAGCACAGUAAGCGCUUGCUCUUCCGGGUGGCGAGUGGCGGACGGGUGAGGAAUACAUCGGAAUCUACUUUUUCGUGGGGGAUAACGUAGGGAAACUUACGCUAAUACCGCAUACGACCUACGGGUGAAAGCAGGGGAUCUUCGGACCUUGCGCGAUUGAAUGAGCCGAUGUCGGAUUAGCUAGUUGGCCGGGUAAAGGCCCACCAAGGCGACGAUCCGUAGCUGGUCUGAGAGGAUGAUCAGCCACACUGGAACUGAGACACGGUCCAGACUCCUACGGGAGGCAGCAGUGGGGAAUAUUGGACAAUGGGCGCAAGCCUGAUCCAGCCAUACCGCGUGGGUGAAGAAGGCCUUCGGGUUGUAAAGCCCUUUUGUUGGGAAAGAAAAGCAGCAGGUUAAUACCCCGCUGUUCUGACGGUACCCAAAGAAUAAGCACCGGCUAACUUCGUG